AUACUUACCUGGCAGGGGAGAAUCCAUGAUCACAAAGAUGGUUUUCCCAGGGCGAGGCUUAUCCAUUGCGCCCCAGGCGUACAGAUCCCUACAACUUCCCUACAUGUGGGAAACUCAACUGCAUAAUUUGUGAUAGUGGGGGACUGUGUUCAUGCUCUCCCCAU
Small nuclear RNA from Carlito syrichta (Philippine tarsier), 164 nucleotides. Its record names the gene U1. It matches the Rfam family "U1 spliceosomal RNA". Rfam says of the family: U1 is a small nuclear RNA (snRNA) component of the spliceosome (involved in pre-mRNA splicing). Its 5' end forms complementary base pairs with the 5' splice junction, thus defining the 5' donor site of an intron. NCBI's taxonomy places the organism in Eukaryota, Metazoa, Chordata, Mammalia, Primates, Tarsiidae. The record is from Ensembl.